This 6335-nucleotide long non-coding RNA is filed under the name Nicotiana tabacum (common tobacco). Its description in RNAcentral is "long non-coding RNA (NTAB_LNC012892)". Lineage: Eukaryota; Viridiplantae; Streptophyta; Magnoliopsida; Solanales; Solanaceae. The record is from RNAcentral.
UGUACCCGCUACUCUUCUUAGAACCACACUCUAAAAGCUCUUUCUUUUAGCCUCUAUUGGUUUUUCUUAACCAUAAUGGAGGCGUCACCGUGUUUGUUUCGAAGUUGACGCCCAUUCGGAGUUGCGUAAUAAAGACCGAAAAUCAUAAACCUUCUUGACGACGCCCCGUUCAAUGCCCACAAAAAGGUCAAUGGUCUCCCUUUAUCCUUUUAUCUGUUGUAAGUAAUAUUUGAGUUCUUUUAUAAAAUAAUAAGUGUUAGUUCUCUUUUCUGAUCUUUGAUUAGAAACUAUGAAAUAAGGAUUUAUCAUGCUUUCAUUCAAUGUUUCAUGUUAUUUGUGAACUAGUGAACGCGGUUUAAGGUUUCUUUAUAAUAUUAUUCUGGAUUAAGUGAUCAGAUUAUGUGAAGCAUUGUAUGCUAUAGAAUCUUAUUUUUUCUAAAAUGUAAGUUGUUAACCAGAAGUCAUGACUUAUGGAUAUGUUGCCAUAGAAAGUAUGGUAAUAAAGUUAUGAAAUCAUCUCUGUUUAAAAUUUGGUAGAAUCUGCAAUUUAAAGUUUACUAGGAAUCAUGAUUUCGUUACUUGGUCAUUAUCCGUUAGCAUAGUGAUACUUCAGUUUGAGACAAUCUGUUGAUGACAAAGAAUCUGCAUUAUUCAUUAAAAGAUCUAUUUGUGCUCCUUCCUGUAAUGAAAUCAAGUUCAUAAACAAAAUAGAAACCUACUAGUAUAACUUAAGAAAGAUUACUGUUUUUUUAUUAUAACAUGGUUCAUACAUCCCUAACAACUAGUUAAAGUGAAGUGUGAGUGCAGAGUUAUGUGUUAAACACCCUUUUCAGGAAUUGAUAUCAAUUCUGCCUGCAAUUUAAGGAUCAUAUAAUUGUUACAUAGUAAGUCAGUGAUCAUGAUAGCAUGUAUAUAUGAUAUCUUAAGUAGUAAUGGUAAAAGUGAAAUCUGUUAGCAUGUGUUUGUUGAACAAAGUAUGCUUUUUGCUGCUGUCAUUUCUUAUGUACCUUGAAGAAUCAAGUUUAACUUUUGCUAAUGGCCUUAAGGAAGUGUAAAUCCCAAUUUGUUUGUUAGGCUGAAUCUCUUACUUUAGGAGGUAACUUGAAUACAUAAUGUAAUUGUUUAACCUUAAUAUAAGAACAUCACUUGAGAAACCUUUCAAAUUGGUAAAAGUUUAUGUGCCUUAUUAGCAUGAUAUGCAUAAGUACUGGUUUUUUAGCAUAAGUUUGUGAUUUAUGUACUCUUUCUGUAACUUUAGUUUUUCUUCUUUUAUCUUCCUUACGUGUUUAAUAUAUUCAGAUCCUCUUUCUAAUCCUUUCUUUUCUUUCUUUAUUUUGCAUGAAAACACCGGAGCCGCAAAGAGUUCCAGUAUGGGACUCGACGCUGCUGCCUAGACACAAAGCACGCACACCCCUUCAUUUUCUCUUCUAUUCCUGAACUUAUUUAGGCUCUCGAAAAAAGAGAGGAAAAGUAGAAGAGAUGACCAAACAUUGGCUGUCUAAUGUUACUUUCCUGUGUUUAUUAGCUAACUGUUUUAUGCGAUCUAUUUGCUUGCUUGGUUGCUCGAACUCAUUUGAAUUAAAUUAGUUUGUUUGAUCACGUAGUAUUUGGCAUCUCGAUGUGCAAACUUUAACACCAAUAAUAGCUUUUCAUUUAGUAGUCCGGGCUAAUAGACCUAACUAAUUUAAGAGCAUUUUUGAAGGUAUUUGGAGCUUUAAAUUGUGAAGGAAACUCGUUUUCAUUUAUCGAGUGUUAAACAAGUUUAAGGAAAUCAGCUAAAUUUUUAUCUUUACAAUAAUCUGCAAUUUUUUUUAAAAGUGAUAAACGAACAAGCUCAAACUUUAUUUUCCUUCAAACAAUAUAUUUCUUUCAAGUACUAGGCGAGUGGAUAGCUCCAUACAUCUUCCUUGAAUUUGGUUUCAUUGGAUUAAAGAACUUUGAACUUUGAACAACGAUCUAUUUCUUUUUCUAAAAGUUAUAGUUGUUCUCUUAGAAUCUUUAACUAGAGGUCUCAUUCUUAAAGUCAAAUAAUGCUUUCCAUUUAUUAAUUUGUGCUAAGUUUAGGUAACUAUCUACUUUAAGCUGCCUACGGUAAUUCAUAGCAUACAUUUUAGUGUUAACUUUCUUUUAUUUAUACUUAUAAAUGACCACAUUUUUUACAACCCUUAGUCUUAAUUAACUUAAGUUUGGCCGGUUAACCAUAUUAAUGGAUCAUAUACAGAGUGCUUAAUACCUUUUCUAUAAGAUUAAAUAAAGCCCUUACCCGUAGUCUUAAAGGUUAAAUAGACCAUAAAACAAAGUUAACUGCAUUACUUAAGCUUUUAAAUAUAGGUGUCUUAAUUCACCUUAGAAUUAAUUAGAUGACGACUCUUUUAAUUAAUUAACACUUGACUUACCAAUAUGUUAUGCUCUAAUUUGACCCGAUUAAAAUGGGGUAUAACAAUCAUCCCCGACCCUGAUAAGGACAUCACCACACACGUGGAGGGGUACUUAAGCAUUUAUACAUACCCCUUCAUGUUUGGCACAUAGUUCUCGAUUUUUGCAAAAGGUACGAGGUCUGCCUUAGGUAGAUUCACCCGUCCUUUUGGAGGACCGUGAUGUAAAAGAAGAAUCUAUGUUAAAUUUCAUUAAUUUUGGCAUGUUUUAGAGCUCAAGUCCAAACAUAUAGACUUCUUUUCAAGAAGUCCAAAAAGCUCAAGAUUGAUUUCAAGAAGCCAAGAUUCUUUAAAUAGGAUUUAUUUUAUUCCUUUUAGAAUAAGGAUUUUACUUUUAGUAGAAUUCUAGCUUCUUUUCCUUGUAGAAUAAGGAUUUUACUUCCCUUGUCUUUAGUUAUUUUAUUUUCUUAUUAGAAUAGGAAAUAUAGUCAUCAAGAAGAGACUCUAGGCGUAUAUAAAGGGUUCUCUUGCCUUGUAGAAAAUAAUUCACGUUUUUAUGCUUGCCCUAGUUUUACAAUAGAGUGUUUUUCUCUAUUUUUUCUUCUUUAUCCUUGUUUUUGGUUCCAAGCAAGAUGGUGAUAGUCUUUAUCUUGUCUUCAAUUAUGUGUGGUGUUUAUUUAUCGUGCUAAUUGAGUCUAAAUGGUGGCUUUAGGAAUUUUAUAGUUCUUGAUUAUUCAAAAAUACGUUUCUUGAUCUAAAUUCAUUUUUUUAUUAUCAGAGAAUCAUAACUUUCCUUGAACCGGUACAACAUCAAUAUUUACUUGUUUUGAAUGAGUAAAUAUUCUUUCUUAUAGUUCAGAUUGUCAUCUUUCACCCUCGUUUUUGAAUCAUCAGAUUCUGUGUCCUAAAACUUGAGAUACGUUAUUUCUUAAAAUCGACCCACAAACCACAUUUUCGUUUCAAGAUCUUGAUCCUGGUCGAAUGAUUCUUUGUUAACUGAAAGAAUCACAUCAUGGUAUCAGAGCUAUAAUCCACAGGUCCCAAGUUGAUGAAUUCAUCACAUCAAUUUGGUAUCAGAACUAUUACCCAUAGGUCCAAAAGUUGAGAAAUCAUCAUGUCUAAGAUUCAAACAAGAGCAAGAUUCUUGGUUCAAGAAGAUGAAAAAACAAGACAACAUGAAUCUUUUCUACACUAGAUGUACCUCCAAUGAAAAAGUUUGUUCAUUGAUCAUUAAUCAUGGGAAUCACAUAAAUAUCGUUUCUGAAGAGAUGGUUUCUUAACUCGGCUUGUCAACCAAACUUCAUUCAUAUCCUUACAACAUUGAAGUUGAAGAUGAUGAUGGUUUAGAGAUAACUCAUCAAUGCCUAGUAUCUUUUUCUAUUGGUAAGAUAUAUAAAGACAAGAUUUGGUGUGACUUGGUGAAUAUGGGUGCUUGUCACUUAUUACUCGGAAGACCAUGGGUGUAUGAUAAGUGUGCUAAAUAUGAUGAAGACCUUAAUACCUAUUCUUUUACAGAGAAUGGACAUAAGAUUAUUUUAGUACCGCUGAAUACCGAAGAAAUAGUUAAUUUUCUGAAGUUCAAUGAUGAUUCUUUUCUGACCAAAUUACAAAGAAUUGAUCCAAUCAAUAGAGAAAAGUCUUUGAUCGUUGGUCCAAUCAAGGAGGAGGAGCAUGAACUGGAUCUACAAGUUGAGGAUUUACCUCCUAAGUUUGAUGAUGACUUAUUGGAGCAUCCCAUAAGUGAGCUUAACUUUUCACCUAAUAGAGAUGCUCAACAUAAUAUUAAUUUGAUUGUUGAUUCUAUCCUUCCAAACGAGGCAUCAUAUUGCAUUAAUCCAGAAGUCCAUGAAAUUUCGCAAACACAAGAGGAAGGGUUGCUUAAAAAGGAGUCCAUAAUGGAGGGUUUGAGUUAUAUUUUGUUCCAGCUUUUUUUCUUGCCCCCAAAGGAUGAAUAUAUUCAAGAAUACAUACGAUAUAUCAACACAAAUUCCAUCAAUGGACAUGAUCUAGUUAAAUAUGAGAGCGUUGUUGCUGAUGAAUUCUCAAGAAGAUAUACUUCCAUCUCCAAGCUUGAUCUAGUAAUAGUACUUGAAUUUGAUUCUUCUAAGGGGUUUCAUGGUGCUAAAUCGAAUUUUCUUGGCAUAUCCCAUAAGCACCACAUUGACAUGGAGAAGUUCAAGAUUUCUGAAGAUCAAAAGAAUAUAAUUUAUGAUUAUGGAUUAGUGUUUAAAAAUUGAUUUAAGAGGAUUCAUUGAAGCAAUAUUGGUACAAAGUUACUAUUGAGAAAGUGAGAUUUAGUUCGGCCACAUGCUAAGCUUUGUUACAACACGAUAAUUUUUUUUAACAAGUUAGAACAAUGCAACUUAGAGCCUGGUGAAUAUGAGUUCUACCAAAGCAUGAUAGUUGUCAAGACUGUGCCAUUUGUGGAGCGUUUAGACUCAAGGACGAGUCUUUAUCAACCAGGGAGAAUGAUGUAAAAUAAGAAUCUAUGGAAGCUCAAGAUUGAUUUCAAGAAGCCAAGAUUCUUUCCUUCUUAAAAUGGGAUUUAUUUUAUUCCUUUUAGAAUAAGAAUUUUCCUUUUAGUAGGAUUCUAGUUUCUUUUCCUUGUAGAAUAGGGAUUUUAGUUUUACUUCCCUUGUAUUUAGUUAUUUUAUUUUCUUAUUAGAAUAGAAAUUAUAGUCAUCAAAGAAGAGACCAUAGGCCUAUAUAAAGGGUUCUCUUACCUUGUAGAAAAUAAUUCACGUUUUUUAGGCUUGCCCUAGUUUUACAAUAAAGUAUUUUUCUCUAUUUUGUCUUCUUUAUCAUUGUUUUUGGUUCCAAGUAAGAUGGUGAUAGUCUUUAUGUUGUCUUCAAUUGCGUGUGGUGUUUCUUUACCACGUUAGUUGAGUCCCAAUGAUGGCUUUAGGAAUUUUAUAGUUCUUGAUCGUUCAAGAACAUGUUUCUUGAUCUAAAUUCGUUUUUUGUUAUCAUAAUAUCAUAACUUUCCUUGAACCGGUACAACAUCAAUAUUUACUUGUUUUGAAUGAGUAAAUAGUCUUUCUUAUAGUUCAAAUCGUCAUCUUUCACCUCGUUUUUGAAUCAUCAGAUUCCGAGUCCUAAAACUUGAAAUACUUUGUUUCUUGAAAUCGACCCACAAAUCACAUUUUCGUUUCAAGAUCUUGAUCCUGGUCGGUUGAUUCUUUGUUAACUUGAAGAAUCACAUCAAUUUGGUAUCAGAUCUAUAAUCCAUAGAUCCCAGGUUGAUGAAUUCAUCACAUUAAUUUGGUAUCAGGACUAUAACCCACAGGUCCAAAGGUUGAUAAAUUAUCAUGUCUAAGAUUCAACCAAGAGUAAGAUUCUUGGUUCAAGAAGAUGAAGAAACGAAACAGCGUGAAUCUUUUCCACACUAGAUGUACCUCCCAUGGAAAAGUUGUUCGUUGAUCAUUGAUCAUGGGAGUCACAUAAAUAUUGUUUCUGAAGAGGUGGUUUCUAAACUCGGCUUGUCAACCAAACUUCAUCCAUAUCCUUACAACAUUGAAGUUGAAGAUGAUGAUGGUUUAGAGAUAACUCGUCAAUGCCUAGUAUAUUUUUCUAUUGGUAAGAUCUAUAAAGACAAGAUUUGGCGUGAUGUAGUGAAUAUGAAUGCUUGUCACUUAUUACUUGGAAGACCAUGGGUGUAGGAUAUGUGUGCUAAAUAUGAUGAAGACCUUAAUACCUAUUCUUUUACAGAGAAUGGACGUAAGAUUGUUUUAGUACCGUUGAUUUCCGAAGGAAUUGCUAAUUAUCUAUAGUUCAAUGAUGAUUCUUGUAUAUGGAAAAAUCGGAGGAACCAAUUUUCCGCCAUUAUGAUGCCUCGUCAGCACGUUUUCAAAGGCUCGAGGCUAUGGUCGGGAUUCGCCCCCGAGGGGCUAUCGACGCUCGACCUCAGGGCAUUAUAGAUCAACGGUUAUGGUGAAAAAGUGGAAAGUUCCUAAGGCGCGU